GUGAAAUCCAUCCACUGUCGAUUCGGUUGCCUCAGAAAACUCCAAUCCCAAUCGAGGCGCUAGGGUAGGCCUAGGUGCGCUCCCAGAUGAAUGCACUCGGUGGUGGGCGAGGAUGGUGACGCCAACUACUUUUACAAGCCGCGCUUCGGCUGGAUCCCCUUCUCUCCGUUUGCGCCUGUACUUUCACCACCCACGGCCACGGCGGCGCCCACCAUGGUGAUGGAUCAACAAGGAUCUUCUGGCGGGAAGCCUUAUGUUCUGCCCUUCUUGUUCAGUCAAUACUGGAUUGGCUGCAUAGUUUGAGUCCGGCGGCCGCAAAUAUCAAGAUCCGGAAUCGCGAGGGCGAGUGGUUGGUCACAAAAUCGUCGCUCUGCUGUUCAACCGGGUCUACUGGGGAAUAACAGAAGGCUGUGCUUGGACGAUGUGAGCCCAUGCCCAGGCGUGAGGGAUUCAGCGGGCGACGCGAAGGGGCUUAGUUUAUGGGGAUUCAGCGGGCGAUGUGAAUGGUGCUGUUGCAGCGGCUGGAGGCGCGUUAGUUGCCGACGCUGACGGUGAAUGUGAGUUACAAUCUUGCUGCCUCCUCAUUGGUUCAUUCCAAGAUGCGCUUAUAUAUGCUCCCCUUGCAUAGGUUGAUGCUAUGUCUUCUUUCGUGUUGCAGGCUACACAAACCUCCCCCACAUGGUUUGUGUUCCAUCUAAUGCUGUUGUUUUUUCUCCAAAUUUGUUGUUGAUGUUGUUAGUAAAUUUGUUGGAGGCCCUUUGCGUCUUUGAUCGCCUCAGUAUGCUCCUUCAGUAGUCAGCAGCAGUACGUCUUCACUCUAGGUCUCCAUCUCCUGGUGGAGUUGAUGUGAUGGUUCAUGUUCUUUUGUUUUUAGGAGCAUGCAGUUCAUGCCAAGGAGCUGUUAUGUGUAAAUGUCGUGUGUGCUGAGCCAAGAUAAGUUGUCUUUGAAGUAAGAUUAUGCAGUGUCGUAUGAUUGCUUAGCCUUAUAUAAAACUCCAUGACAUACUUGAUAACUUAGUAUUUCCUGGCUAUAAUACCUUUCUCUAUUCAAAUAAAUAUGCGAUUUGGGUGUUACUGAUUACUCAUGGAGAGAUUUAAUGCCAUUUUAGGAAAACACGAAUAUUCAAAUGGGCAUUGUCUGAUCAAUAGUUUUUUGUUACUGCAGGUCGAAAAGCGCAAUGAAGGAUUUUUCUCUCUUUCCUAUGAAGAGUUGCUGACAGGUAAAUCCUCUGUCCAUACUCCAUACUCCAUGUACUUUCCUCAGUUUAUCCUCCAGGGAAAUCUUUUUUGUUCAGAAUGAAAAUAUGUAUUUCACCUUCAUAACGGGUAUUCUUAUACCCCAUUAACUCGAGUGUGUUCUUACAAGUUGCAGACUCGCAGUAUGUAUUUUCAACGAUUAUUCUAUCUCAAGACACACCUAGCUGACACUUUGCUGCAAGUUAUUUGUAUUUUUCGGCCGUGUAUUGUACUGUGAUGUUGCUUUAUAUAUAAGAAUAAAGCGGGGCAGAAGCCUGUUUCGAUAUCCAUCUUUUGACCGGCUUUGUGUAUAUCUCCUGCAAGUAAUUGUUUCAUCUCAUCAGGGUGCUUCCUUUCUUUAAUGACCAGGUAAUUAAACUGUUCCUUUGUACUUUUCUAUUCAUAUUUUUUGACUUGUUUGGAGCUGUAUUGAUGGACAUGUUAAUCUCCAGGGAGUGGACAUGUAGGAACAAAGAAAUGAACUUGCCUUCUGCAAGAUAAUUAACUGAUGUGUUGCUCAUCUUCAUUCAGUUCUCAUGUUUGCAGGGUGUAGAAAUCAUACCUUAUAUUACUUCGUGUAGAGGUACAAUUUUCUUGUGAAGAGGUCCAACCAUUUAUUACUUGAGAGCAUAUUCCAUCGUACAUCAUAUUUUUGGAAUUUGGAUUCGACAUUCGACAGUAAAUUGCUUAAACUAUUCAUCUGAAGUUCUGAACCUUAUAAACAUAGUGCCAUAUAUUUGUUACAUUUAUUUCCCCUCUUUUCUUUUUAAGGUAGCAAUAAUUCAUACACAAUCUAGCCUGCAAUCUAAAUUUGUAUCACCCCUCCCUCGCCUGCUUUAGUCAAGGAUAGCGGAUCAUCUACUUGAUAACAUGUAAGCUUUAUAAAUAUUCUAUUUGACCCCUAAGUAGUAUCUCCCAUGUACUUUCCGUACUAACCAAACGCUCUAUCUGCCUUUUGUCCCUCUACAACAGAUCAGACUAAAAGCAAAUCAAUGGCCUAUAUGCAAGGUCAGCGAGCAAACUAUCAAGUAUAAUCUGCUGGAGAAUAUCGAUAUCCUAAUUUUUUGUUAGAGUAUAUAAUAGCAGUCCAGAGAUACUAUGGCUUGAUUUAUAUAUAAGCUUAUUGAGGUGCAUUAUCUCAAUUUUGUGUGAUACUCCACCCUUUCUGGUUUAUAGGGCUUAUCUCAAAUUUUUUCCAUUUUUCUGAUUUAAAGGGCUCAUCUCCAUCUCCUUUUGAGAUUUCGAGGUGCAUUAAAUAUUUGCAUGCAAGAAUUGAAAAAGAACUCACCAAUGCAUGUAGUGCUACUACUCAUGUAGUGGCCAAACAUGCAUGCACCGCAAGUAAUCCCAAUUAAUGCAUCAAUUUAGUUUGGGUAGUUUUCUAAAGUACGAGAUACAUUCCUCCACUCACCAUGUGUCUUGGUUGAUGAGAUUUCAGAUUUGAGCCCUAUAAACCGGAAAGGAGGGAGUAAUGUGUUAUUUAGGAAAAGACACCUUAAUUGAUACUCCCAACAUUUGUAGGCUUAGCAACAUGAUCGCCAGUUGAGGACGCUGUUAUGUGAUCACCAGUGUGUAUAUAUUCCCUCUAGCAUCAAUGGCCACACAAUCUUUAUUAUUUUUAGUAUUCAGGUUGAUAUGCCUGAUAUUCCAAAAUUCACACUUCUAAUGAUCAUGCAUACUUGUUUACUUUCUGCAGGAGAAAUGAGAUGUCAUGCUGCCUUCCACGAGCGCGCCAGAUUUCGCUUGUUUCAUUAAUUAUGAUCAUCAGCAUAGAUGUUUGCUACUGACAGUGACAAGGCUGCAUCAAUUAUGACUUCAUGUAAAGAAGCAAAAAUAUUUAGAUGCCAAAUGGUGCAAGACACAUGAUGCCGAGAAGGAGGUUGCCUUAGUCAAGCAAAAUGCGGAUGAGGAUGGCGAGCACAAGGGCAAGGGAAGAAUGGCAAACCCAUGCAGCCACACCCUAAGGACUAAAUCCAUGUCCGGAAGAGGAGAAGGAAGGUUAUAGAAACUAAGAGCCACACCCGGAGAUCGCGCAAUUAUGUUCAUGAUGCUAUUAUUUAUCCCAAGUUUGUCAAUUUUGUUCGUGGCCUGAUGUUUGAUUUACUGCUACUUAAUUGCUACAUGAGUUAACAUGACAUAAGUAUCCAUAUUGAGCAAUAAUUUGAGGUGAGC
RNAcentral lists this ribosomal RNA (3408 nucleotides) under Triticum aestivum (bread wheat). RNAcentral describes it as "partial small subunit ribosomal RNA". Lineage: Eukaryota; Viridiplantae; Streptophyta; Magnoliopsida; Poales; Poaceae. The record is from RNAcentral.